Molecule: long non-coding RNA, 527 nt
Organism: Haliotis rubra (blacklip abalone)
Lineage: Eukaryota; Metazoa; Mollusca; Gastropoda; Lepetellida; Haliotidae
Exons: 2
Source: RefSeq, a predicted model, not a curated record
UUCAGCAGUCAGCAGUCACUGUAUUUGAGUCGAUUCAUUAAUUUAAACCCUGUAUAUCAAAUUCAGCCUUUAUUGGGUAAAUACUCUUACUGCAAAAAAAAAAGUACAUCAGAUUAGGUUUGGAAGACAUCCUGAAAACACAUGUGUAAUGUAUUUACGUAAUCAAUUUAGUCAGCUUCAACAAGCAACAAAGACGCUAUGUAAGGUGUCAUGGUCAUACAAAACACGUGGAAGUCGUGAAGAGUGGCGGAAUGCGAAAAGUUUGAUUUGCACGUGCUUUUCCUAAAGGCGAACACGUGGUUUGAUCAGUCAUGGAGCGGCAAUGGAAGAAAAGACAUGGUCGGGGACAUUAUUUCACACAGGUGAAUAGUUUGGACGGGGAUUAAGAUAUUGAGCCUUUGUGCGACAUGAUGACGUUAUGCAGGGAGGAGCGCUUGAGAGACAGCAACCAUGAAAGAGGUCGAAUGGUGUCGAAGAAAAAAUGUCCAGCAAUGUCAACUUGCGAUAAUAAAUGUUUAGUCUCUCAA